This 465-nucleotide ribosomal RNA is filed under the name Vreelandella stevensii. RNAcentral's name for it is "partial 16S ribosomal RNA". It matches the Rfam family "Bacterial small subunit ribosomal RNA", at positions 338 to 795 of the family's 1533-position model. The record is from RNAcentral. Lineage: Bacteria; Pseudomonadati; Pseudomonadota; Gammaproteobacteria; Oceanospirillales; Halomonadaceae.
CCUACGGGGUGCUGCAGUGGGGAAUAUUGGACAAUGGGCGAAAGCCUGAUCCAGCCAUGCCGCGUGUGUGAAGAAGGCCUUCGGGUUGUAAAGCACUUUCAGUGGGGAAGAAAGCCUUGGGGCUAAUACCCUCGAGGAAGGACAUCACCCACAGAAGAAGCACCGGCUAACUCCGUGCCAGCAGCCGCGGUAAUACGGAGGGUGCGAGCGUUAAUCGGAAUUACUUGGCGUAAAGCGCGCGUAGGCGGUCUGAUAAGCCGGUUGUGAAAGCCCCGGGCUCAACCUGGGAACGGCAUCCGGAACUGUCAGGCUAGAGUGCAGGAGAGGAAGGUAGAAUUCCCGGUGUAGCGGUGAAAUGCGUAGAGAUCGGGAGGAAUACCAGUGGCGAAGGCGGCCUUCUGGACUGACACUGACGCUGAGGUGCGAAAGCGUGGGUAGCAAACAGGAUUAGAUACCCUAGUAGUC